RNAcentral lists this long non-coding RNA (1694 nucleotides) under Medicago truncatula (barrel medic). RNAcentral describes it as "long non-coding RNA (MTRU_LNC000013)". Lineage: Eukaryota; Viridiplantae; Streptophyta; Magnoliopsida; Fabales; Fabaceae. The record is from RNAcentral.
CAUAAUAUUGAAACAAAUUAAGUUGGUUUAGCCGCAUCAAUAGACUCUUGGAGGAGGUGGUGGAGAGUUAUAGAGGUAGGGAAGGUGAUAAGCCGGAUGCUUGAGGACAUGACGAGAAGGGGAAGGUGAUUUAUGAAUAUAUGGUGGAGGAGGUGAAGAAGAAGGUGGAGGUGGAGACUUGUAAACAUAUGGAGGAGGCGGUGAAGGUGAUGGUGGGGGAGGAGACUUGUACGCAUAUGGAGGAGGGGGUGACGGGGAAGGCGGUGGUGGGGACUUGUAAACAUAUGGAGGAGGUGGUGAGGGGGAAGGUGGUGGUGGGGACUUGUAGACAUAUGGUGGUGGAGGUGAAGGAGAGGGAGGAGGUGGAGAGUUGUAGACAUAAGAAAGGGGUAGCGAUGCAUAUGGUGGUGGAGGAGAUUUGUAAACAUAUGGAGGCGGUGGUGAAGGAGAGGGAGGUGGAGGAGAUUUGUAGACAUACGGUGGAGGAGGUGAGGGAGAAGGAUGUGGUGGUGACUUGUGCACAUAAGGCGGAGGUGGUGAUGGGGAUGGUGGUGGUGGGGACUUGUAGAUGUAAGAAAGGGGUAGUGAUGCAGAUGGUGGAGGAGGAGACUUGUAGACAUAUGGAGGUGGUGGUGAAGGAGAGGGAGGUGGAGGAGAUUUGUAGACAUAUGGUGGAGGAAGUGAAGGAGAAGGAGGUGGUGGUGACUUGUAAAUAUAAGGUGGAGGUGGUGAUGGGGAUGGUGGUGGUGGGGACUUGUAGAUGUAAGAAAGGGGUAGUGAUGCAGAUGGUGGAGGAGGAGACUUAUAGACAUACUUAGGUUGUGGUGAUGGAGAGGGAGGUGGAGGAGAUUUGUAGACAUAUGGCGGAGGAGGUGAAGGAGAGGGAGGUGGUGGUGACUUAUAAAUAUAAGGUGGAGGUGGUGAAGGAGAUGGUGGUGGUGGAGAUUUGUAUGUAUAUAAUGGAGCUAAUUUGGGGUAGAGGUGUGCGUGUUUUGCAUGAUGUGGGGUGUAUUGUGAUUGUGGAUAUUUUGCAUGUUUUGGAGGAGGUGGAGAUUUAUAUGUAUAUAAUGGAGUUAAUUUGGGGUAGAGGUGUGAGUGUUUUGCAUGAUGUGGGGUAUAUUGUGAUUGUGGAUAUUUUGCAUACUUUGGAGGUGGUGGGGAUUUGUAUGUAUAUAAUUGAGUUAAUUUGGGGUAGAGGUGUGAGUGUUUUGCAUGAUGUGAGGUGUAUUUUGAUUGUGGAUAUUUUGCAUACUUUGGAGGUGGUGGGGAUUUGUAUGUAUAUAUUGGAGUUAAUUUUGGAUAGGGAUGUGAAUGUUUUGCAUGUUCAGGGGUGUACUUUGAUUGUGGAUAUUCUACAUGCUUUGUAGGUAAUGGAGAUUUGUGUUUAUAUAAUGGAGUUAAUUUAGGGUAGAGGUGCGAGUGUUUUGCAUGAUAUAGGGUGUAUUGUGAUUGUGGGUGUUUUGCAUAUUUUGGAGGUGGUGGAGAUUUAUAUGCAUAUAAUGGAGUUAAUUUGGGAUAGGGAUGUGAAUGUUUUGCAUGUUUUGGGGUGUACUUUGAUUGUGGAUAUUCUGCAUGCUUCGUAGAGAGUGGAGAUUUGUGUUUAUACAAUGGAGUUAAUUUGUGAUUGAGGUGUGGGUGUUUCGCGUAAUAAUAUGGGGUUUUUUGUGACCGUGGAUAUUCUACAUGCUUUGUAG